This is a long non-coding RNA of Cyprinus carpio carpio, 1012 nucleotides long. Lineage: Eukaryota; Metazoa; Chordata; Actinopteri; Cypriniformes; Cyprinidae. The record is from Ensembl.
CAACGAUGCAUAUUGGUAAUUAAAGAGUGAGUUACAUCGUUGUACGGGAAACAUAUAAGCUACCCGUGUCUAGGAAAGGUGUCAUCACAAUCAAAUGUUAGUAACCUAAAUAUUUAGGUGUUGAAAAGAAAUAUGGGCGUACUCUUUAAGGUAAUAACAGUAUUAGUGACAUUCAACAAGUGCAACCAAAAAGAUUCAAAACAUCAUUAACCCACAGAUGAGUGUUUAAUAGACAUUUUGUCACAGGUGUGGUCUUUUUUUGUGGUUGGAUUCAAGACAAUGUCAAUAAAAGGAUUUAGAACUGAGAUUUAGAGCUGCGGUUUUGCAUAUUAUGUCAUCUCAAUCCAGAAAUGUAUUAAAAAGGGUCAUAAAUAUCUGAACUUUUUCCCUGAGAAUGUUACCCAUGACAGUUCUAAUGCAAUGGCAACUGUCUGCCAGUUACCGUCUUAAAUGUAAUAGUUUCUUAUGGGCAUUGAUGGUUGCAUUAAGAACUACGUAACCUUUCCAUUACACAAAAGGUUCGUUAUAGGUUCUUUAGAUCAGUGUUUCUUAACUGGUGGGUCACAAGACCAUUCUGAGACCAACAUCAAUAAAAAAUGAAAUUCUAAAUGUUUUUCUGAUGCAAGACUUUUAUUUUGAAAGACAUCCUUGAAAGCUGUUGACACCUUUGUCAGAUGCCGAAGGAUUUGCGUGAAGGUAUAAUUCUCAUUCUAUUCAGGAGCAGUUUCCAUGUUUCAUUAACAGUUCAUGUUAUUAUUAUUCACCAUGAUAAAUGUUGUUUCCAUAACCCAAAAUGCCAUGUUAUUUCACUUUGUGUUAUUUUUGUACAUGUUUAAAUGACUGUGGUGGCUCAUACCAACCUAAUUGUAUUAACAAACUGGGACUAGCCUUAAUUUAUAGGCUGUUUAUUAAUCAGUAUUUGUGAUAUUCUUACAAUUUAUGUUUUAAGAAACAGGGGACGGUGCUUGUGUGUGUGCAUCAACAAUUUUUUGUAAAAAUAAAUUUGCUUUGU